GCGUUGUUUGGAUUGUGAGACGAGAGUUUCGAUUUACUUCCAUGAUCAUUUAUUUGAAAUGUUGGAAUGGCCGAUCAAAAAGCUAGAAUAUUAUCCAACGUUGUCGUACAGUGUACUAUACCCAUUGAUUGUUGUCAUCCGGGUGGUUUUCAUUAUCAAGGUCAUUUGUUUAGGGGUUCACAGCAGGGAACCCAGGGUUUCGACAUCACGUUGUAAAUUUCUUAUGCUGCGAUUUAAAUUUGUUUAUCCAAGUUACAAAACGUAAGUUAAAUCCGAGAUAUAUUCGGUGUGUCUUGUCGUUUAAUUGACACGUUUAUAAUGUUUUAAUAAAUAAUACAGCUCACUAUUGUACGAUUGUAAGCUCACUUCACAGUUAACACCUGAUUAAUUGAUUAUCCUGAAAAGUCAUAUUGUAUAAACAAUUAUGUUUUGAUUGCAUAUCGAUCAGUGAAAUUAAUUAGACAAACCGGUUUUGACAGGUAAUAAUUAAUGUAAUUAAGAGUAUUGGGACUUCAUAAUUAGACCGGAAUUCGGAAUACACAGGGUCCGGUUUACAAAGGCUAUUUUAACAAAGACUUUGAAGGGAAAAAAAUGGGACUUUCAUUUUCGGCCGGAAUGUACAGGAAGCCGGUUUAUUCAGGGUCC
RNAcentral lists this long non-coding RNA (645 nucleotides) under Mytilus galloprovincialis (Mediterranean mussel). Lineage: Eukaryota; Metazoa; Mollusca; Bivalvia; Mytilida; Mytilidae. The record is from RNAcentral.